Molecule: long non-coding RNA, 1000 nt
Organism: Alligator sinensis (Chinese alligator)
Lineage: Eukaryota; Metazoa; Chordata; Crocodylia; Alligatoridae
Exons: 3
Source: RefSeq, a predicted model, not a curated record
UUCUGCUUCCUAUUAGGUGCUUUAACGAACCACCAGAACAGUGAUUUCAGCUGGCCCCUCUUGAGAGGCCUGUGGAGGCAGGACUACGUGGUGUCCACCAGCAUCUGGAGCAGCCUAGCUCCUUUCACACAAGCAUUGUCUCUCCUGGUCCCUGCUGGCACCUCUGUGGCAGAAAAGCUGGAGAUCCUCCCCACAAAAGGCAUCUCCUCUACACAUCCCUGCUGCUUGGUGUCUUCUGAAUUUGACUAGCAAACUCCACUCAAGCCUUCUGAAAUGAAAAGACUGAACAACAGGAUCAGAAAACCACUUCCAUGGAAAGAAAAAUAAAGGCGUCUACUUUCACAUCAAUAGAGGACAGAAGACAACCAGACUGUCCUCUGUGAUGGCCACCCUAGAUACUCUGCAUGUGCCUACCAGUCUUUCUACUGCAACAGCCCCAACUCAAAAUGGCAGGUCAGUGUUUUCACUUAACCUCUCCAGUAGAAAGCCCAUUUGUGGGAAGUUUAAAAUUGCACAGUGAAACUACAGGUAAAAACAAGCAGAGAGGAGUCAGGCACGUCUGCUGGAAGCUACCUUCCUGGUCAAAUGAAAAAUCAAGUCACAAACUGGCUUCCUGCCCAUAGAAAGCAAGUGAAUGCUUCUCAGCUGUUGUAGAGCACAGUGCUUGACCUUAGGUUUUUAUCAAGUAGUAGAGAGGUUUUGAAGGUAUAGUUGUAGUGGGAAAGUCCAGCUUAAGGUUUAAGAUCCCAUUGCAGCAAUUCCUUUCUUGGGCUGCAGAUACAAACAAUCCUACUGCUUCUGUUAAGGUCAUUCCUAUAUCAUGACUCUCAGUAAUCGUUGCAGAACCCUUUUUCAUGUGGACACAUACACAUACAACACUAUAUUCAGUGCUGCCCUUGCAAAAGGAUUGUAUUCCAGCCUCAUUCCAUGCAAUGCAAGUCCUCAUUAUGUUCCUGCCUGUAACCUGUCAGAGCCGAAUAGCCUAAGGAAAGCCGUGGCA